This 743-nucleotide long non-coding RNA is filed under the name Paramuricea clavata. The record is from RNAcentral. Lineage: Eukaryota; Metazoa; Cnidaria; Anthozoa; Malacalcyonacea; Plexauridae.
AUAUAUAUAUAUAUAUAUAUAUUGUAAUUCCAUGGGGCCAAGUAAAAUUGAGGUUUAAUUUCCCACGUGUUUUCAAAGUUUCACAAAUUGUGAAAGUUUGAAAAGACAAUUGAAAUUACACCUUACUUUAACGAGAAACUAUGCGAUUACUUGUUAAUCAUACUGGGCCGUGUGCAUGUAUAAAAUUAAUUACUCUCAAUUUCCGGCAAGGCAUAUUUUAACUAUAAAACUACUGGGGCAUUUAUUUUAUAAGUAAACGCAUGCUUUGAGGCGUUACUAAACCACAGAAUAAAGAUCAGUAACAGAAGGACCACUCAGCGGUGCAACGUGUCCGCGUUUUUUAUGAAAAAAUAUGCAGUUUACUGGCCAGAAGUCGAAGCAGCCAGCCAGUACAGCACUUACAGCGUGUUUAUUGGCCAGAAAAUGUCAUUGACUGGCUAAGAAAAUGGCGGCCAACAUUCGUAAUGCGACAUGCGCGAGGACAGAAACUUCAAAGCUUCCGACCUAAGUGGCCCUUCUAUAUGGAUCUUUNNNNNNNNNNNNNNNNNNNNUAUUACGCAUAUUACAAUUUACGAAGCAUUUUUAAAUUCCCAUGAGCAAACAAACGUUCACUUUACAAAGAUAUUUUAAUUUCUUAAAACAAAUUAAUCACCCUGUCAAAAUCCUUUGUGUUACGGCAUUGAAAUUCGAACAAUACGUUAUUUCAAUGAUUUUGGGUUUUUUUGAGACACCCUGUAGAGCGU